This is an RNA transcript of Oreochromis niloticus (Nile tilapia), 1938 nucleotides long. It is a transcript of the gene named homeobox protein NOBOX, with no coding region annotated. The record is from RefSeq and is a predicted model, not a curated record. NCBI's taxonomy places the organism in Eukaryota, Metazoa, Chordata, Actinopteri, Cichliformes, Cichlidae. The transcript has 10 exons.
CCCCUGCUGUACUCCUCACAGCCUCCUGUCUCCAUCCAGCCCACAUGUCCUCAGCCACAGAGUAACAAAAGACCUCAUAGCCCCCUUCUGCCUCACAGUGUCCCGCAGCAGGGCCCACAACCACUUGAGAUGGAGAUAACGCAGGUAUACCCCACCCAACAUAGCACCAGGGGCCGAGGUCGAGCCCUCAGCUUCCCACUGCUGCCAGGGAUAGAGUCUGUGGACAGCUGCCUGCUGCCACCUGCACCGAAGAAGAGAACACGGAUUGACUACAGCACAGAUCAGUUAGAGCAUUUAGAGGCCCUGUUCCAAGAGGAUCACUAUCCGGACGUGAAAAAAGAAAAGUGAUUGCUGCUUCAGUCGGCGUCACACCUCAGAGAAUUAUGGUCUGGUUUCAGAACCGAAGGGCGAAGUGGAGGAAAGUACGUGGUGUUACAGCAAAGGUGGAACACGGACAGAGUAGAGCUGAAUACAGUCCACAUCACCAAAUCAAUCCCACUUUGCCCACACUGGCUCACAACAGUAAGGGAGCCGCUUCUUUGUCUCGUUAUUAUGCUCUCAAGCUACCCCAGCUUGCCCCUGUGCCACCUUCAUUCCCCACCAUAACCACUCAGAGCCCACCCUCCCACAGCAGCCUGUUGGCCAGCCUCAGCACCCCAGGUGAAAGCAGAGUGAUGGAUACAGGCCAGCACCAGCUUUCAUCUCAGGAGGGUUUGGUGGAGUAUCCCCCCCGUCCCAUGCAGAGCCCUCCCCCUCUGCAGCUAGCCAGCCUUCCUCUUUUCACCACAACCUUUAACUCUGCAAACCCCACUCCCCCUCUCCUCAACACACCAGCCCACACCCCACCCCUCUUCCUGGAUGCUCUGGAGGGUGGCUCUACCUUGGCCCACCAUGAGACCCAGUCUCUGCCGACUGACACCAGUUUGCUCUUUGACUUGGACUACCUGACGUCUAGCCAGCAGAGCAACACUUUGUCUUACCAGCUCCAAACCUCCUACCACACCAGCCAGCCUCAGCUCCAACCUCAAGCAUCUCUGCCCCACAUGACCUACCUCACACCACCUCCCUACCUCACCCUUAACCCUCCAGAGUCUAAUCCUACCUCCUACCUGACUUUUGGCCCUGGAGGAAACUCGACAGGAGUGGUGACCGAUUCCACCACGGGUCAUGCCUACUUUCAGUCCCAGAGUGCAAGUCAAAUCCUACUGCAGUCGUCUGGUCACCACGCUGGGAUUACAGCGUACCAGUCUUACCCAUGGGGCAACAUGUGCAGUCAGCCAGCCAUGCACCAGCGUACUCAGUGCCCUCCUGCUUACCCUGGCAGCUUGGGACCUGGUCGAGAGCACCAGCCUACCUCUUCCACCAUCUUCCCUCUUCCUUCGUUCUUCCCUGGGGAGGACCAGGAGUCGUUGCAUGCAAAUUCCCAGGAUCCUUCACUCAACCAGACUUUCACAAGCAGCACCACCAGCACUGCCACCGUCCUGCCACCUGUGUCAACGCUCCUGCCCUCUUGCCUCAGGGUGGAGGAUACUCCAGCCAGGGAGUCAUUGCUAAUGCCCUCGCAGAAUUAAUCAGGGACAUUCAAGUCUGGGCUUUAGUCACAUGUUCCAGGGGAAGUCAGGUGACCGAAAGGAGAUCACAGACAGAAGAAAUGGAUGUCACAGUUCCUACAGAUGACCAGGACAUCCAACUCCCUCGUCUGGACAGAAGUAAAAGUGUUUCUGCUUUUAUCAUUUCAAUUUUGGCUUAGAACAAUAAAAAAGAAAAAAGAAAAAAAAAGCUUAAAGGCUGAGUCACAAAAAAUGUUCAAGACACCCUUGAAGUAAAAACAAAGUUCUUUAUCUUUUAGCUAAAUAAGGCUUUGCUUUUAAGAAAAUUAAAGCAUUUGUUAAUGUCUGUGUUCUAAAUGUCAAAUAAAAAAGGUAUUUCAGAUCUGUG